ACGUAGGUGGCAAGCGUUGUCCGGAUUUAUUGGGCGUAAAGCGAGCGCAGGCGGUUCCUUAAGUCUGAUGUGAAAGCCCCCGGCUCAACCGGGGAGGGUCAUUGGAAACUGGGGAACUUGAGUGCAGAAGAGGAGAGUGGAAUUCCAUGUGUAGCGGUGAAAUGCGUAGAUAUAUGGAGGAACACCAGUGGCGAAGGCGACUCUCUGGUCUGUAACUGACGCUGAGGCUCGAAAGCGUGGGUAGCAAACAG
This 251-nucleotide ribosomal RNA is filed under the name uncultured bacterium. Its description in RNAcentral is "partial 16S ribosomal RNA". It matches the Rfam family "Bacterial small subunit ribosomal RNA", at positions 525 to 775 of the family's 1533-position model. The record is from RNAcentral.